Molecule: ribosomal RNA, 403 nt
Filed under: uncultured bacterium
Lineage: Bacteria
Description: partial 16S ribosomal RNA
Rfam family: Bacterial small subunit ribosomal RNA
Source: RNAcentral
GACGAACGCUGGCGGCGUGCCUAAUACAUGCAAGUCGAACGCAGUGGGGACGGGUGAGUAACACGUGGGUAACCUCCCAUCAGAGGGGAUAACACUUGGAAACAGGUGCUAAACCGAUACUGAUGCAUGGCCCCGCGGUCCAUUAGCUGGUUGGUGAGGUAACGGCCCACCAAGGCCACGAUGCAUAGCCGACCUGAGAGGGUGAGCGGCAAGACUUGGACUGAGACACGGCCCAGACACCGACGGGAGGCAGCAGUAGGGAAUCUUCGGCAAUGGACGAAAGUCUGACCGAGCAAGGCCGCGUGAGUGAAGAAGGUUUUCGGAUCGUAAAACUCUGUUGUGAGAGAAGCGGUAUCUAACCAGAAAGCCACGGCUAACUACGAGCCAGCCGCCGCGGUAAUAC